Molecule: ribosomal RNA, 710 nt
Filed under: uncultured bacterium
Lineage: Bacteria
Description: bacterial SSU rRNA
Rfam family: Bacterial small subunit ribosomal RNA
Source: RNAcentral
UGCAAGUCGAGCGAAUCUUUAGGAGCUUGCUCCUGAAGGUUAGCGGCGGACGGGUGAGUAACACGUGGGCAACCUGCCUGUAAGACUGGGAUAACUUCGGGAAACCGGAGCUAAUACCGGAUAAUCCUUUUCCUCUCAUGAGGAAAAGCUGAAAGACGGUUUCGGCUGUCACUUACAGAUGGGCCCGCGGCGCAUUAGCUAGUUGGUGAGGUAACGGCUCACCAAGGCGACGAUGCGUAGCCGACCUGAGAGGGUGAUCGGCCACACUGGGACUGAGACACGGCCCAGACUCCUACGGGAGGCAGCAGUAGGGAAUCUUCCGCAAUGGACGAAAGUCUGACGGAGCAACGCCGCGUGAGCGAUGAAGGCCUUCGGGUCGUAAAGCUCUGUUGUUAGGGAAGAACAAGUACCGGAGUAACUGCCGGUACCUUGACGGUACCUAACCAGAAAGCCACGGCUAACUACGUGCCAGCAGCCGCGGUAAUACGUAGGUGGCAAGCGUUGUCCGGAAUUAUUGGGCGUAAAGCGCGCGCAGGCGGUCCUUUAAGUCUGAUGUGAAAGCCCACGGCUCAACCGUGGAGGGUCAUUGGAAACUGGGGGACUUGAGUGCAGAAGAGGAAAGUGGAAUUCCACGUGUAGCGGUGAAAUGCGUAGAGAUGUGGAGGAACACCAGUGGCGAAGGCGACUUUCUGGUCUGUAACUGACGCUGA